UACGAAGGGGGCUAGCGUUGCUCGGAAUUACUGGGCGUAAAGCGCACGUAGGCGGAUAUUUAAGUCAGGGGUGAAAUCCCAGAGCUCAACUCUGGAACUGCCUUUGAUACUGGGUAUCUUGAGUAUGGAAGAGGUAAGUGGAAUUGCGAGUGUAGAGGUGAAAUUCGUAGAUAUUCGCAGGAACACCAGUGGCGAAGGCGGCUUACUGGUCCAUAACUGACGCUGAGGUGCGAAAGCGUGGGGAGCAAACAGG
Molecule: ribosomal RNA, 253 nt
Filed under: uncultured bacterium
Lineage: Bacteria
Description: partial 16S ribosomal RNA
Rfam family: Bacterial small subunit ribosomal RNA
Source: RNAcentral